This 2290-nucleotide ribosomal RNA is filed under the name Pseudomonas aeruginosa. Its description in RNAcentral is "bacterial LSU rRNA". It matches the Rfam family "Bacterial large subunit ribosomal RNA", at positions 655 to 2925 of the family's 2925-position model. Lineage: Bacteria; Pseudomonadati; Pseudomonadota; Gammaproteobacteria; Pseudomonadales; Pseudomonadaceae. The record is from RNAcentral.
GUAUAGGGUAGGCGUAGCGAAAGCGAGUCUUAAUAGGGCGUUUAGUCGCUGGGUAUAGACCCGAAACCGGGCGAUCUAUCCAUGAGCAGGUUGAAGGUUAGGUAACACUGACUGGAGGACCGAACCCACUCCCGUUGAAAAGGUAGGGGAUGACUUGUGGAUCGGAGUGAAAGGCUAAUCAAGCUCGGAGAUAGCUGGUUCUCCUCGAAAGCUAUUUAGGUAGCGCCUCAUGUAUCACUCUGGGGGGUAGAGCACUGUUUCGGCUAGGGGGUCAUCCCGACUUACCAAACCGAUGCAAACUCCGAAUACCCAGAAGUGCCGAGCAUGGGAGACACACGGCGGGUGCUAACGUCCGUCGUGAAAAGGGAAACAACCCAGACCGCCAGCUAAGGUCCCAAAGUUGUGGUUAAGUGGUAAACGAUGUGGGAAGGCUUAGACAGCUAGGAGGUUGGCUUAGAAGCAGCCAUCCUUUAAAGAAAGCGUAAUAGCUCACUAGUCGAGUCGGCCUGCGCGGAAGAUGUAACGGGGCUCAAACCACACACCGAAGCUGCGGGUGUCACGUAAGUGACGCGGUAGAGGAGCGUUCUGUAAGCCUGUGAAGGUGAGUUGAGAAGCUUGCUGGAGGUAUCAGAAGUGCGAAUGCUGACAUGAGUAACGACAAUGGGUGUGAAAAACACCCACGCCGAAAGACCAAGGGUUCCUGCGCAACGUUAAUCGACGCAGGGUUAGUCGGUUCCUAAGGCGAGGCUGAAAAGCGUAGUCGAUGGGAAACAGGUUAAUAUUCCUGUACUUCUGGUUACUGCGAUGGAGGGACGGAGAAGGCUAGGCCAGCUUGGCGUUGGUUGUCCAAGUUUAAGGUGGUAGGCUGAAAUCUUAGGUAAAUCCGGGGUUUCAAGGCCGAGAGCUGAUGACGAGUCGUCUUUUAGAUGACGAAGUGGUUGAUGCCAUGCUUCCAAGAAAAGCUUCUAAGCUUCAGGUAACCAGGAACCGUACCCCAAACCGACACAGGUGGUCGGGUAGAGAAUACCAAGGCGCUUGAGAGAACUCGGGUGAAGGAACUAGGCAAAAUGGCACCGUAACUUCGGGAGAAGGUGCGCCGGCUAGGGUGAAGGAUUUACUCCGUAAGCCCUGGCUGGUCGAAGAUACCAGGCCGCUGCGACUGUUUAUUAAAAACACAGCACUCUGCAAACACGAAAGUGGACGUAUAGGGUGUGACGCCUGCCCGGUGCCGGAAGGUUAAUUGAUGGGGUUAGCGCAAGCGAAGCUCUUGAUCGAAGCCCCGGUAAACGGCGGCCGUAACUAUAACGGUCCUAAGGUAGCGAAAUUCCUUGUCGGGUAAGUUCCGACCUGCACGAAUGGCGUAACGAUGGCGGCGCUGUCUCCACCCGAGACUCAGUGAAAUUGAAAUCGCUGUGAAGAUGCAGUGUAUCCGCGGCUAGACGGAAAGACCCCGUGAACCUUUACUGUAGCUUUGCACUGGACUUUGAGCCUGCUUGUGUAGGAUAGGUGGGAGGCUUUGAAGCGUGGACGCCAGUUCGCGUGGAGCCAUCCUUGAAAUACCACCCUGGCAUGCUUGAGGUUCUAACUCUGGUCCGUGAUCCGGAUCGAGGACAGUGUAUGGUGGGCAGUUUGACUGGGGCGGUCUCCUCCUAAAGAGUAACGGAGGAGUACGAAGGUGCGCUCAGACCGGUCGGAAAUCGGUCGCAGAGUAUAAAGGCAAAAGCGCGCUUGACUGCGAGACAGACACGUCGAGCAGGUACGAAAGUAGGUCUUAGUGAUCCGGUGGUUCUGUAUGGAAGGGCCAUCGCUCAACGGAUAAAAGGUACUCCGGGGAUAACAGGCUGAUACCGCCCAAGAGUUCAUAUCGACGGCGGUGUUUGGCACCUCGAUGUCGGCUCAUCACAUCCUGGGGCUGAAGCCGGUCCCAAGGGUAUGGCUGUUCGCCAUUUAAAGUGGUACGCGAGCUGGGUUUAGAACGUCGUGAGACAGUUCGGUCCCUAUCUGCCGUGGACGUUUGAGAUUUGAGAGGGGCUGCUCCUAGUACGAGAGGACCGGAGUGGACGAACCUCUGGUGUUCCGGUUGUCACGCCAGUGGCAUUGCCGGGUAGCUAUGUUCGGAAAAGAUAACCGCUGAAAGCAUCUAAGCGGGAAACUUGCCUCAAGAUGAGAUCUCACUGGGAACUUGAUUCCCCUGAAGGGCCGUCGAAGACUACGACGUUGAUAGGCUGGGUGUGUAAGCGUUGUGAGGCGUUGAGCUAACCAGUACUAAUUGCCCGUGAGGCUUGACCAU